This 450-nucleotide ribosomal RNA is filed under the name uncultured bacterium. Its description in RNAcentral is "bacterial SSU rRNA". It matches the Rfam family "Bacterial small subunit ribosomal RNA", at positions 29 to 524 of the family's 1533-position model. The record is from RNAcentral.
AACGAACGCUGGCGGCAUGCCUAACACAUGCAAGUCGAACGAACCCUUCGGGGUUAGUGGCGCACGGGUGCGUAACACGUGGGAAUCUGCCCUUUGCUUCGGAAUAACAGUUAGAAAUGACUGCUAAUACCGGAUAAUGUCGCAAGACCAAAGAUUUAUCGGCAAAGGAUGAGCCCGCGUAGGAUUAGCUAGUUGGUGGGGUAAAAGCUCACCAAGGCGACGAUCCUUAGCUGGUCUGAGAGGAUGAUCAGCCACACUGGGACUGAGACACGGCCCAGACUCCUACGGGAGGCAGCAGUGGGGAAUAUUGGACAAUGGGCGAAAGCCUGAUCCAGCAAUGCCGCGUGAGUGAUGAAGGCCUUAGGGUUGUAAAGCUCUUUUACCAGGGAUGAUAAUGACAGUACCUGGAGAAUAAGCUCCGGCUAACUCCGUGCCAGCAGCCGCGGUAAU